Molecule: long non-coding RNA, 216 nt
Filed under: Lathyrus oleraceus (garden pea)
Lineage: Eukaryota; Viridiplantae; Streptophyta; Magnoliopsida; Fabales; Fabaceae
Description: Pisum sativum (pea) long non-coding RNA (PSAT_LNC018035)
Source: RNAcentral
GAAUUUGAAGAUACUCUUGAACAACCUCCUGAGAAGUCAUGAUUUGAUGGGGUUACACAAUCAAGGCUUGUAGAUCUUAGGGUUGAAGAGGUCCUUUGGUUGCAAGAGUUAGAACUAGUGAUGUGUUAUCUUGGAGGAUAUGAUUCAUUGAUCAUACAUUAAGAACCUGCAAUCGAAAAAAAGGUAGUAUAAAAUGUUAGAGUUGUCUGAACGAUU